GAAAGUGAAUGGCGGAGGAUUGAAAGUGUCACAUUCAGAGGCGCUAAUCUAUAGGCGGUGGAGGACCGGUCCUCGCCCCCUCUCUGUCUCUGAGGGGAGGGGGGUGGUUAGCGGCGGUGCCGAGGUGCCUUAGCCCAUGCUCUGCGGGAGCCGGGGGGGUUGUGCGUGGUUUCUCUCUGCCCUGCCGUGAGCGCAAAGCUAACUGUGUGUGUGUGUGUGUGUGUGUGUGUCUGUCUCUCUCCAUACCGGGGGAUUGCACUCUUAAAAUACACCCGAUACAAUGCACCAGCCUGACUCAGCCGCAGACAUUAGUGCUAGGAAGAUGGCGCACCCGGCAAUGUUUCCUAGAAGGGGUAGCAGCAGUAGCAGCGGCAGCAGCUGCGUUACUGCUCCCACUGCACCAGGUACCGGCGUUGGGAGCGCUGCCCUCUCUGCCGAGGAUUAUCAGCCACCUUUGCUGGUCCAGCCGCCGCCUCUGUCUCCUGCAGCAUCUUCAUCAGCGGGUCCACAGCCGACACCCCCUCCUCCACAAAGCCUGAACCUCCUCUCGCAGUCUCAGCUCCAGCCACAGCCUCUUGCACAGACCGGAGCUCAAAUGAAAAAGAAAAGUGGCUUCCAAAUCACCAGUGUGACCCCUGCUCAAAUAUCAGCUAGUAUGAGCUCUAAUAACAGCAUAGCUGAGGAUACAGAGAGCUAUGAUGACCUGGAUGAGUCCCACACUGAAGAUCUGUCAUCUUCGGAAAUCUUGGAUGUUUCUUUAUCCAGGGCCACUGACUUGGGAGAACCUGAGAGGAGCUCUUCUGAAGAGACUUUAAAUAACUUCCAAGAGGCAGAGACUCCUGGGGCUGUUUCUCCAAACCAGCCUCAUCUUCCUCAGCAGCAUGCUCCUCUGCCUCAUCACCCACAGCAGAGUGUUGUGAUCAAUGGAAGUGUUCACCCCCAUCAUGUUCAUCACCACCACCAUCUUCACCACCACCAUCAUGGACACCACCAUCCGUCACAUCCUGGGGUGGGCAGUGCCCCAGUUUCCGGAGGACCACCGCCCAGUCCAUCAUUUAGAAAACUGUCAACAACUGGAAGCUCUGACAAUGUUAUAUCAACUGCACCAGUUUCUGCUGCAUCAUCCACUGGUUCUCCGGCAUCUGUCGUGUCUAAUAUCCGCACUACAAGUACUCCUGGAAAUUUAGGUGUAAGUCCUGCUACCGGAACUAGUACCUUAAAUAAUAUGGGUAGUGGUAGUUCUAGUGUGGCAGGUGGUGUGAUUGGUACUAUAAACUUGAGCAACAUCACGAGUACUGCUAAUGUAAAUGCUUUGUCUGGAACUGGCAGCAAUGUUAAUGUGAAUAUCUUGAGUGGUGUUGGCAAUGGUACGAGUGCUUCCUCUAGUGUCAUUAACAAUGUUACUAAUCCAACUGCAGGAAUGGCAGUUGGAUCAAGCCAGCAGCAGCCUGCAUCUGGCACGUCAAGGUUUAGGGUUGUAAAAUUAGAUUCUAGUUCUGAACCUUUCAAAAAAGGUAGAUGGACAUGCACUGAAUUCUAUGAUAAAGAAAACACCGUUGCAGUUUCUGAAGGAGUAGCAGUAAACAAAGCAGUAGAGACAAUAAAACAAAACCCGCUUGAAGUGACUUCUGAAAGGGAGAGCACCAGUGGGAGUUCUGUUAGCAGCAAUGUAAGCACACUGAGUCACUAUACAGAAAGUGUGGGAAGUGGAGAAAUGGGAGCACCUCCUGUGGUACAGCAGCAAGCAUUUCAAGGUGUGGGUCCACAGCAGAUGGAUUUUAGCAGUGCUGCUCCUCCGGCAAUUCCAGCAUCAAGUAUACCACAGAGUGUUUCUCAAUCACAGCUUGCACAAGUCCAGCUGCAUUCUCAAGAAGUAAACUAUCCACAGCAGAAGCCAGGGGUCCAGCCUCCUGCACAGGCCAGUCUAACCACUGUUACUGGGGUUCAGCCAGCCCCAGUUAAUAUACUAGGUGUAUCCCCAUCUAUGGGCCACCAGCAGCCUGGCAUUCAAAGUAUGGCUCAACAGCAGCUACCAUAUUCUCAGCCAGCGCCGCCUGUGCAGACUUUGCCGGUUGUGCAGCAGCAGCAGUUGCAGUAUGGACAACAGCAGCAGCAGCAACAGACAGUUCCUACACAGAUGGCCACAGGUCAUGUUAAGUCGAUGAACCAAAACUCCGUGACAGGGGCUGUGCCAGACUACAUUCAGCAUCAGCAGAUCCUUCAGACUCCAGCCCCUGCCAUGCAGCCUAGUUCUGCAGGAGUAGGAGCAGGGCAACCGGUUCCCGUUGCCCAGGCACAGGGCAUGCAGCCUUCAGUACAAGCACAUCCAGCCGCUGCCCCAGCUCAGCCUGUUGCACAUGCUCCAGCAGCAAUACCAGGUGUAGGUACCAGUGGUCAAAUGCUGAAUGUUGGGCAGCAAGGGAGUGUAGCUGCUGUGGUGCAACCACCAUCUGCUGCAAACCAAAUUCCACCUCCAGUUAUGCCGUCAACGGCUGCUCCUCCAUCUUCACAAGUAGUGCAGCCUGUGCAGACAGGAAUAAUGCAGCAGGGAUUACAGGCUAGCGCUUCAGGCCUUCCUCAGCAAAUGGUCAUAGCUCAGCAAAGCACUUUGUUACCUGUACAGCCACAGGCACAAGGAGUGGAAUCUGUUGUCCAAGGGAUGACUGGCCAGCAGCUACCUGCAGUUAGCCCUAUACCUUCUGCUAGUACUGUUCCUGCACCAACUCAAGCUGGUUCAGCUGUGCCUCCUGGCAUACCUUCUGCUUCUAUAGGUUUGGGACAGCCACAGAACAUAACACAAGCUUCGGCUGUGCAGAAUGGGAAUUUGUCUCAAAGUGUUAGUCAGCCUCCCUUGAUAUCAACAAGUAUAGGUAUGCCAGUGGCACAGAGUGUGCCACAGCAGAUGCCGCUAAGCUCUACCCAGUUCCCUGCACAGUCACUAGUUCAGUCCGUUGUAAGCCAAAUUGAAGAUGGCAGGCGCCCUACAGAGCCUUCCUUGGUGGGUUUACCUCAAGCUGCCAGUGGUGAGAGUGGUGUUGGAGCGUCGGCCGUUUCGGAUGGCGGUAGCAGCAAUGUGCCAUCCUCUGCUUCCCUCUUUCCACUGAAGGUGCUGCCAUUGACGACACCUCUGGUAGAUGGUGAGGAUGAAAGUUCAACUGAAUGCUGGUGCAUAGAUCCUGCAGUGGGUUUGCAGCCUGCACAUGUUUCGAGAGGUGUGUGCUCUAAAGGAGAGGAUGAAGAAACCCCAUCAAAAUUGCCCCUAAAUGAAUUGAGUGAAAUUGCAUAAUGAGGAACAUACCUUUUUGGUUAACUACUGGAUCAUACUCUAACUGGUGUCUUCAGAGCAAUGAAGGCAAAAUGAUAGUGCCUCAUAUGAUGCAUACACCUCAACAGCUACCCUACAUGCAAACACUGGCCACUGCUGCUGUUGUGCAUAAGCUGCCCACAAAAGUAAAGAACCAGUGUGAGAGUUUGAAGAAAGAAUCCACUCAGAGGACUGAGUCUCAAGCAAAAGCUCCAGGUUGCAGACUCAGAAAGAAACUUCCUUUGGGGAAGGAUCUGCUUCCAGGAUUUGCUCGUCUCUUUUUCCUUGGGCAAACAGAGUUCUUGAAGCAAACAACAGGGUUGCAGCAAAAGGUAUCACUUGAAAACUGGCAGUGAGAUUCUAACGACAUUUUGCCAGUUCCCCUUUCAUGCUGAAUUGAAGUCAUUUGGAACUAUGUUACAUGCAUUAUUACUUUGGUGCAUCUUGUGACUCUUCUCUCCCUCUUCAUUCCCUCCAAAUUGCUUCAGGACACCUUCUAACCUUUAUACUGCAUCACAAGCCUUCAGCAGAAGAUCUUGAGAGCCAUUUAUGUUGCUGGAAGAUGACUGGGUUUGGAUCUUGGCCUUCCUUAAGCAGGAUCUUCUGACAAAAAUGGGAUUGGGAAAGAAAUGACUCCUUUUUCCAUCACACAGAGCCGCCCUAGAAAUGAAGGCCUAGGCAGAAAAUUACUUCCAAUGCAUCAUUCCUUAAGAGAUUUGUUUGCCCUUCCACGGUCCUUCUGUUACCAUGUCAUAAAGAUGUCUUUUAUAAAGCCUAAACCUGGCAUCUUCCUAUCUGAAGAUCCAGUCAAUAAAUCCAAGUUUAAGAGUGUACAGGUCUAAUGCGCUCAGAGCAUGCUGUCUCCUACAUAGGAGAUGCGCUAUGGAUCUGUGAAACAGGGUUCUCCUGUGGUUCAGUGUUGUAUCUGUAAAGCCUUUUCUGCUUAUAGUCCAUUUAAAUUAUUAUAAAAAAUAAAAAGCUUCUUGUGAAAAUGGUAUUUAAUUAGGCCUCAAACUCUCCAAGUUUACUUAAAAACAAGUGAGCCAAAAAUGACAUAAUGGGCAAUAUGGGAAGUACUGCAUCUUCUGAGGUUUCCUGUGGGUUUGUGUCAAGAGAAGGUAUGUUGAAAGUGUUGAGAGCUGUGAAAGUGGGAAAAACUUAGAUUUUGCUUUAAGAGUGAAAAGUUAUUUGUUAGAAAGCAGAAAGCUUUUAAUUUCCCUCCUCUAAGGGAUUCUGUACUCAAACGGUCUUGCAAGAUCUUAAAUAAAAACCUUAUGUUUGGCAGUAGUGAGCAACACACACACACAUGCCUGUGUACUUUUUGCUCUUUUUGCCAUAGGAAAUUAGUUUUGAAGAAUAGGAUUGACUUCUAAUGUUCAGAUUAGGAAAGGGGAAAGCUUUGUUCUGAAGCUGAGUGUGGGAAGACAUGGCAGGAGGUUGACCUGAGCCCACUGGUAAAGUGCACUUUUGUUUUCGUGUUUUCUGCUUCUGGCAGUUGGAGUAAACUAGUCAGAUGCUUGUGCUUGAAUCCAGUUAAUUUCCUAAAUCAGUUACCACAAAACAUUGUUUUUUAACUAAUGCCUAGAUCUCUCAUUAAAUGCACCAGCCUGUUUAAAUUGUUGAGCAGUCUUAACAUAGCCCUGAGGCUACUGCUUCAUGGCAGUUGUGACUUCUUACUGUGCUGGAAUGCAUUGCAGUCUUAGUACAUUCUAAAAAUAAUUGUUCAGAUGGUGCUGUUUAAGUACAUACUUAUGUAGUGAGCCAUUUUCACUGGACUUUUUAAAAUUUGGGGUCUAUUGGAUGGCUUUUUAAUACCCUGUUUUUAUUCCCUGUGAAUAUCCAACUUCUUUGUCUUGAUGCUUCUGUGGUUAUUGAGUAAAAUGCUAAAUUUAUAACCUGGUAUUUUUAGAAAACUGACAGUCAGAUGUAUGUGUUAAACUAUGCAACCACAGUAACACUUGUGAACUUUGAAGUUUAAAGAGAAAUCACUUUAAUGUAUCAAAUUCAAUACUUUUUUUUUAGUAUGUGGAAAUAUGUUUGUGAUGACCUUAAAACUGAGUAGUUGUUACAGGCAUAGGCAUGGAUUGUGUGCUGAACAUGAGUAACCUAGAAGUUAGAAGCUGGAGAUACGCGAGUCUCGGAAAUAAAUUAUUGCUGUCUGUGGGAGAGAUCUGUGCCAGCAGUGCUUUUAGUUGAAAAUACCUGUUUUUCUAACUUCUCCCCUGUUGAAAGUCUGGUUAUCUUUUUUUGCCUUACUUAAAAGGUGUACUUGCCUCAGCCAGAGCUGUUGAUCAUUUUGUUCUGUAGAAUAAGGUAAUUUAAGACCAACAAAUACUUAAUAGGAGCACUGAGAACUGUUUCUAAUGUUAUUGUCUCAGUUGCUAAAAUGACUUUAACCCCCACAUCACAAUAAGGAAAAGAACCCCAAACAAGCCAGAAAGCUUGUUGCUGUUCUACAGUCAGUAUUUUGAUACUUCUUGUCUAUUACCAUUGUGUUAGUGUGUUACUAUCAUGCUCGUAGUUCUGCAGUUGGAAUCCUGGGUUCUUGAUACGUCUUUAGAGCAAUAGCUCCUGCCUUUGUGUUAUUAAAAAAUAAAGAUAUCUGAAACCA
This is an RNA transcript of Pezoporus flaviventris, 5915 nucleotides long. It is a transcript of the gene named TSC22 domain family member 1, with no coding region annotated. The record is from RefSeq and is a predicted model, not a curated record. NCBI's taxonomy places the organism in Eukaryota, Metazoa, Chordata, Aves, Psittaciformes, Psittacidae. The transcript has 5 exons.